RNAcentral lists this non-coding RNA (104 nucleotides) under Lysinibacillus sphaericus. RNAcentral describes it as "Lysinibacillus sp. SAM-I sequence". It matches the Rfam family "SAM riboswitch aptamer (S box leader)". Rfam says of the family: The SAM riboswitch is found upstream of a number of genes which code for proteins involved in methionine or cysteine biosynthesis in Gram-positive bacteria. The SAM riboswitch acts at the level of transcription termination control. The record is from RNAcentral. Lineage: Bacteria; Bacillati; Bacillota; Bacilli; Caryophanales; Bacillaceae. RNAcentral also lists the same sequence under 1 other name.
AUCUUAUCAAGACAGACGGAGGGACAGGCCCUGUGAAGUCGAGCAACCCCAUUUUUAUGGUAGGUGCUAAAUCCUGCAGGACAAGUAGUUCUGAAAGAUAAGUG